AGCGUCCGUAGCUGGCCGCGCAAGUCCCAUCGGGAAAUCCACCUGCUCAACAGGUGGGCGCCCGGUAGAAACUGCGUGGCUUGGGACCGGAAGGCGCGACGGGUACGUCCGGGGUAGGAGUGAAAUCCCGUAAUCCUGGACGGACCGCCGAUGGCGAAAGCACGUCGCGAGGACGGAUCCGACAGUGAGGGACGAAAGCCAGGGUCUCGAACCGGAUUAGAUACCCGGGUAGUCCUGGCCGUAAACAAUGUCUGCUAGGUGUGGCUCCCACUACGAGUGGGUGCUGUGCCGUAGGGAAGCCGCUAAGCAGACCGCCUGGGAAGUACGUCCGCAAGGAUGAAACUUAAAGGAAUUGGCGGGGGAGCACUACAACCGGAGGAGCCUGCGGUUUAAUUGGACUCAACGCCGGACAUCUCACCAGCAUCGACUGUAAUAAUGACGACCAGGUUGAUGACCUUGUCCGAGUUUCAGAGAGGAGGUGCAUGGCCGCCGUCAGCUCGUACCGUGAGGCGUCCUGUUAAGUCAGGCAACGAGCGAGACCCGCACCCUUACUUGCCAGCAGUAUCGCGAGAUAGCUGGGG
This 581-nucleotide ribosomal RNA is filed under the name Halorubrum distributum. Its description in RNAcentral is "bacterial SSU rRNA". It matches the Rfam family "Archaeal small subunit ribosomal RNA", at positions 514 to 1092 of the family's 1478-position model. The record is from RNAcentral. Lineage: Archaea; Methanobacteriati; Methanobacteriota; Halobacteria; Halobacteriales; Haloferacaceae.